UGGGGAAUAUUGGGCAAUGGGCGCAAGCCUGACCCAGCCAUGCCGCGUGAGUGAUGAAGGCCUUCGGGUCGUAAAGCUCUGUGGGGAGGGAAGAAACCGGACGUGGAUAAUACCCACGGCUCUUGACGGUACCUCCUUAGCAAGCACCGGCUAACUCCGUGCCAGCAGCCGCGGUAAUACGGAGGGUGCAAACGUUGCUCGGAAUCAUUGGGCGUAAAGCGCACGUAGGCGGCCUGUUAAGUCGGGUGUGAAAGCCCUGGGCUCAACCCAGGAAGUGCACACGAAACUGGCAGGCUUGAAUAUGGAAGAGGGUCGCGGAAUUCCCGGUGUAGAGGUGAAAUUCGUAGAUAUCGGGAGGAACACCAGUGGCGAAGGCGGCGACCUGGGCCAAUAUUGACGCUGAGGUGCGAAAGCGUGGGGAGCAAACAG
This 429-nucleotide ribosomal RNA is filed under the name uncultured bacterium. RNAcentral describes it as "bacterial SSU rRNA". It matches the Rfam family "Bacterial small subunit ribosomal RNA", at positions 355 to 775 of the family's 1533-position model. The record is from RNAcentral.